Molecule: unclassified non-coding RNA, 211 nt
Filed under: Hevea brasiliensis (rubber tree)
Lineage: Eukaryota; Viridiplantae; Streptophyta; Magnoliopsida; Malpighiales; Euphorbiaceae
Source: RNAcentral
AUCUAAUAUUUCAAGAAUGAAUAAUCUAGGGAGUAGUGGAGGGUCCCAGUGUGUCACUGUGCCAGGUCAGCAACAACCCUUCUUACUGCUUCCUGGAAGGCAGACUCGUCCCAUUCUUCCCCCUCAAUUAAGAUUACUCGAUUCAUGGAUCUUGAUUCUGUUGUACGUGUGUUGGCUUCUACGGACAUCACGUUCACAUUGUUAACUUGGU